UGGGGAAUAUUGCACAAUGGGCGAAAGCCUGAUGCAGCGACGCCGCGUGGGGGAUGAAGGCCUUAGGGUCGUAAACCCCUUUCAGCAGGGACGAAAAUGACGGUACCUGCAGAAGAAGCCCCGGCCAACUACGUGCCAGCAGCCGCGGUAAGACGUAGGGGGCGAGCGUUGUCCGGAUUUAUUGGGCGUAAAGAGCUCGUAGGCGGUUGCGUAAGUCGGAUGUGAAAACUCAGGGCUCAACCCUGAGACGCCAUCCGAUACUGCGCUGACUUGAAUCCAGUAGGGGAGUGUGGAAUUCCUGGUGUAGCGGUGAAAUGCGCAGAUAUCAGGAGGAACACCCAUGGCGAAGGCAGCACUCUGGGCUGGUAUUGACGCUGAGGAGCGAAAGCAUGGGUAGCGAACAGGAUUAGAUACCCUCGUAGUCCCUGAGCGGGCUGGCAAGGCGCAU
RNAcentral lists this ribosomal RNA (448 nucleotides) under uncultured bacterium. RNAcentral's name for it is "bacterial SSU rRNA". It matches the Rfam family "Bacterial small subunit ribosomal RNA", at positions 355 to 825 of the family's 1533-position model. The record is from RNAcentral.